Non-coding RNA from Gasterosteus aculeatus aculeatus (three-spined stickleback), 4059 nucleotides. The record is from RefSeq and is a predicted model, not a curated record. Lineage: Eukaryota; Metazoa; Chordata; Actinopteri; Perciformes; Gasterosteidae.
UCACAGGUCUUUCUUGUGUGUACUAUAUGCCAUUACUCAUGCACUCUACAAUAGAACGAUCACACCAGGGAAUUAAUGCUUUGAAGGCGCUUAUAUCAAUCUAGUCUGAUGAGGCCAUCCAUAAUCUGGAGUCUGAGGAGAAAUAAACCACGAAAGACCCUGACCGGAUAAAGAAACCAUGUACAAUUCCUUAAGUGCAUCAAUAUUUAAUUUGCUUAUUAGUCUACCUUUGCACCUGAGCGCUAGGCUCCCUUCAUCCCUAACCAAUGCAAUAUAAGAGCCAUGACUAACCUUUCCUGCACUCUAACAGAAAUGUGUGUUAUGUGCUAUGGUGACCUUUUACAGUUGAGUGAACGCGGUAAAAGAGUGCAGCCUCCUCUCAGUUAGUGAAAGGGCCAUUGUGGUAGAAGCAGCCAGCUGCUCUUCUAUCUCCGGUCUCAGUGAUGGUUAAUGAGAUUAGCUGUUCGUCUUGGUCUGCGUCAGUGCCAAGGGGGUCAAUCACAGGAUUAGCACCUUGCUCAGUAGUUGCAUCGUUUUAUUACUUUUUUUUUUCUCCCUCUUGUUACUUUCCCACUUCGGUACUUUUAUUUCUUUCAGAACCACCAAAGCAUGUUCAGUGGCCGGAAUUGCAUUUUAGUUCUUGGAGUGGAAUUUUCUGGCUCUGAGACUGAGUCAGUCUCAACCCUCAGCUACUGAAUGAAGCAUCUUCCAGGGGGAGAAGAGGAGCGGGGGCAGCCACAAAAGUGAAAGGCAGCUGGGCCAAAAUCUUGCCUGCUGUGGCAGAGUGUGACACUCUGGACAAGUCGUCCUCAUGCCACUUGUAAAUAACAAAGUAGGUGAUGAUUGCACGGUUGGCACGGACAAGGCUUUGGCUGAUGGAAAGGCUCUGGUGGAUUCCUUGAUUAAGGUGGUGGCAUGUUACCGGCAGCUGGCCUCAUGUGUCGGCGGGUGCACAGACAGCUUGCAGCUGCGAGAUGAGUUGCGGCAAACACGAGAAAAGGCCCAAAUGUUGGCCAUGUCAAUCUGCAGUCAUUUGACCUCACAUCUCCGUAACAGGAGCCUGCCUGAGGGGCAGCGUAAGGAGAUGGAGCUCCUCUGGGUGGCCUUCUCCUCCAGCCUAGAGCUCCUCCAUGUUGACAUGUGCAAAGUUUUCUAUGUGGCUGAAAUCUUUGCUCUGGCCAACACUGAUGCACUGGUAAAAACUGGCGUACAAGGUGGAGGCAGUGAGAUGGUGGCCCGGGCACUCAGUCUGCCAGACCUGAACCAGACCCAGAGUCCAACCCUUCCCGCUGAGCUGGAGAGCCAGGAGCGCAGCACCAUGGAGCGUGAGAUCAGCCAAAUCGACCGCAUGAUCGACGACAUGGAGAUGAAGGUGAACGUGCUGCGCUGGAUGGUGGAGCCCCACGGGCCACAGCGCGCAGACCCGCUCAGCAGCACCGACAGCUCCUCCCUGGGUCUGCUCUCCGUCGACGAGGAGCAGCCUGGACCCCGGCCUCUGUGCCAGCGCAGUCAAAUCUUUGUGCUCUUAUUGAUGUCUGCUGUAGUUUUGGUGUCAGCCACUUUGUCUAUCUGUAUUGUCUUUUUCUCAUGAGCAAAAUCAACUAAUCACAUGUCUUGGAUUGGUAAUGUUCAGUAACACUGACAGAAAUAACUACUUCAGGUACAGUAGUUUUCUCUUUCCAUAGUCGCUCCAAAAAGGAACUACAUUUUUGUAAUUGCAGCAAAAUGAUCUGCUAGAGUGAAGUUUAAUUUGCCUAAAGACACAUUGAAAUAAAUCAGGAGUUGGCCAUUUAUUGCGGUAAAUCCAAAGCUAUCAUGUUCUUUGAACUGUCUUUGUUGAACAAAGUAGUUCUUUCUGUUUUACCUUACCCAAUUCUAACCUAAUAGAUUCCCCUGUGUUCUGUACAGUACACUCUCCUUUCCCCAAAACCCAGAAAGACAAAGUUACAUUUUAUUCCUUGUUGCCAUUGAGAAGACAUAGGUGCUGAUGCUUUGUAGUUAAUAUACUGUAAUAAGCAGAAUAUUCACUUCCAAUGACCAAAGUUGUUUUUUUUAAUUCAGCAUCACUUGUACGUGUAUAAAACCAUUGCAGUAGAGAAUUCACAAUGUAUAGUUUGCAUUGUAGAAGUAUGAACUUUGAUAUGUUUUCCAUAUCUGACUAGCACCUUCGGUAAUUUACCAUAUAAUUGUAUGUAAAGUGACAGCAAAUGUACAGAAUUUGAAGCGCAUUAAAGUACCGAUUAUAUUGUUUUUCUUAGGUUAGGGUUUUUUUCAACAUUGAAAAAGGUAAAUACAAUACACUUUAGUAACUGUCAUUUGAUAUUUUAUUUUUGUGAAAAAAUAAAAUGUUCGCCGAAGUUAUGAUUGAAAACAAGUUAAAAGGAUAAUUAAGAGCCAAAUCACAUUUCAACUAGUGUUUCAGUUUUAUUCUGACACAAUUUAAUAUCUUCAAGCCAAUACAAAAACAUCCAAGUAACGCCAUUUAUCACACGCACCAGCUUUAUUUUGAAGUGUGUGACCGGAAGUGGGAAAGUCAAGGGAAUUCCUACGUGACGGAACCAGGUGAAAAGUUUCGGCGGAUUGCUCGCUAUGUUCACAGGCGGAAGUGGAGCUGGAUUAACACGAGCCUCCAACAUGGGGCUGAAACAGUGCCACUCACGACUCAAACCUUUGCGUGUCAAACUCCCACAGAGGCGGUGUGACCUUUCUUUUAAUCCAAAUAGAUCUUCCAGCUUUGUGACAGCGACCGUUUCUCCAAACAUGUCGGGCUUGUCCGCUGUCAACAAAUCACCGUGUGUCCGCCGCAUCGUCAUUCCGCCUUUGAGGAAUUUUGACAAAGCGCUUUGGAGGCGAUCAGAAGGGAAGAUUAGGAAUAUUUCUGCAGUGACACAGAUGCCCACAAGAGCGCUGAGUACCUCUGUGAAAGCCCCCCAGUAUCUGAAAGCUGAUGUACCAAAGUCUGAUAGUGGGAAGCUGUUUUUUGAUACCCAUGCAGUUGUGCGGAUUUUUGAGGAAAAUGGCUUCACGACUCCACAAGCUGAGGUGAUGGUUGAAGUGCUGGUGAGAAUGACAAACUCCAACAUGAACGUCAUCUAUAAUGACAUGGUAACCAAAGUGCAGCAGGAGAUCAUGUUGCAGCGCUUGAUGUCUCAAAUAGCAUCGGUGAAGAAGGACAUGGUAAUCCUGGAGAAGAGCGAGUUCACUGCUUUACUGGCAGAAAAUGAGAAACUCAAGAUCCAGCUAUCUGAGAUCAAGGUCACACUGAUUGAUGUCAUGAAUAAAGUUCGCUCUCAUGCUAUUAUGGACAUGAAUUUGGAGAAAAACCGUGCAAGAGAAUUAAAAGUAGGGCAUGAUAAGAUGCUUCUGGAAAGGCGAGCUGAGAUUCUGGAAAUGACAGCAGACCAAGAUCGUCAUUUAAGUCAGACCAACCUAAAAAUAGACACAGAAGUGGCCGGUUUGAAAACCAUGUUAGAAUCUCAUAAACUGGACACUAUAAAAUACCUCGCAGGUUCAGUCUUCACCUGUCUCACGGUGGUGUUGGGUUUCUAUCGUGUUUGGAUGUAAGCAGGACUAUGAUUAUGAUUUUAAACUUUUAAAUUUACUGAAUCUAACAAUAAUUAGAGACCAGUUUUAUGUCAGAUGGUUACCAUUCAUCUUUCCAAUCUUUUCUCAGAAGUAGAAUAUAUAUCACUCUCAUUAUUUUAUACCCUCAGGAGGGAUAACUGUACCAUGGUUAUUUUAGGGCUGCCAGAAUGGAUCUGAUGAAUAGAAUUAAAAUAAAUAUUCCAAUUUUAUUUUUUUUAACUCAAAAAAAACAUUUUUUAAACUGAAGUUACAUUUGAAAAAUGUAUUUAUUUUGUAUGUACAGUAUAUAUCAAGCUGUUCAGGGAAGAUCAGAAAAAAAUGGGUUACAGUGACUCACAACCACUUUGGCUAUAUUACCGCAAAUAUUUAACUUGUAUCUAUUGUUAGACUUUGGUCUCAGAAAUAUUUAAUGAGAUUAAUGUAAUUUGUUAUUUGAAUUAAAUUGUGAAUAAAUAUAUACCUUUUGCCAACAAA